RNAcentral lists this ribosomal RNA (253 nucleotides) under uncultured bacterium. RNAcentral describes it as "partial 16S ribosomal RNA". It matches the Rfam family "Bacterial small subunit ribosomal RNA", at positions 524 to 776 of the family's 1533-position model. The record is from RNAcentral.
UACGUAGGGGGCAAGCGUUGUCCGGAAUCAUUGGGCGUAAAGCGCGCGUAGGCGGCCCUGUAAGUCCGUUGUGAAAGUCAAAGGCUCAACCUUUGAAAGCCGAUGGAUACUGCAGGGCUAGAGUCCGGAAGAGGCGAGUGGAAUUCCUGGUGUAGCGGUGAAAUGCGCAGAUAUCAGGAGGAACACCAGCGGCGAAGGCGGCGCUCUGGGCCGGUACUGACACUGAGGAGCGAAAGCGUGGGGAGCAAACAGG